Molecule: long non-coding RNA, 1048 nt
Filed under: Linum usitatissimum (flax)
Lineage: Eukaryota; Viridiplantae; Streptophyta; Magnoliopsida; Malpighiales; Linaceae
Description: long non-coding RNA (LUSI_LNC002546)
Source: RNAcentral
UCUGAUCGGCGCGAUCAAGGACAAAGCAUCACAAACCAAAGCCGCCAUCAAAACCCCCACCUCCAAAUCCCACCACCACUCCUUACUCCGAGCCACAACCCACGACCUCUUCAACCCGCCAAACCCAAAACACUUAUCCAAUCUCCUCUCCUCCGCCGGCGAAGGCUCACGCGCCACCGCCGCUGCCGCAAUCGACUCCCUCAUGUACCGCCUCCAAACCACCCACGACUCCUCCGUCGCGCUCAAGUGCUUAAUCGUCGUUCACUCCAUCGUCAAACAUGGCAGCUUCAUCCUCCAAGACCAGCUCUCCGUCUACCCUUCCUCCUCCGGCGGCCGGAACUACCUUAAACUGUCGAAUUUCCGGGACGGCUGGAAUCCGGUGUACAGUUGUUCCUUGGUUCGUCCAAAUUACUCGAACUUAUAAUAAAUUAUCAAAUAUCAUCCAUCGUUAUCUCGAAUAAAAUCGCUAACCACCGCUUGAUCCAAACUCGAACCCAGCGCAAAACUAGCCGGACCGAAAAUCUUUUAUAAUAAAUAAAUAAAUAAGCUAACCAAUUAAUAAUUGACCCGACGGCGAGAAAGUCGUUCAUAUUCUCACCGGCUUCCGAGAAAGUCCACCAUCCCCAAUAAUUUCUGCUAUUUUUUUCGUACAUUAUGGAAUCAAAUAUUAUUAUUAUUAUUAUUAUUUGAUAAAUCAUGAAAUAUUAUUUCCUUUUUGAAAUAUAAUUUUCGUCCAUAUUAAUCAUUAUCAUCAUUAUCGUUUCUUCUCCUUCUUCCACCUCAAUCACCACCUUCCUCCGACAAUGGGUCGAAUAACCAGUCUAAAAGAUCUAAUCGGCGCGAUCAAGGACAAAGCAUCACAAACAAAAGCCGCCAUCAAAACCCCCACCUCCCAAUCCCACCACUACUCUCUACUCCGAGCCACAACCCACGACCUCUUCAACCCGCCAAACCCAAAACACUUAUCCAAUCUCCUCUCCUCCGCCGGCGACGGCUCACGCGCCACCGCCGCCGCUGCAAUCGACUCCCUUAUGUACCGCCUCCAAAC